This 200-nucleotide ribosomal RNA is filed under the name uncultured bacterium. RNAcentral describes it as "partial 16S ribosomal RNA". It matches the Rfam family "Bacterial small subunit ribosomal RNA", at positions 30 to 230 of the family's 1533-position model. The record is from RNAcentral.
AUUGAACGCUGGCGGCAUGCCUUACACAUGCAAGUCGAACGGCAGCGCGGGGCAACCUGGCGGCGAGUGGCGAACGGGUGAGUAAUAUAUCGGAACGUACCCUGGAGUGGGGGAUAACGUAGCGAAAGUUACGCUAAUACCGCAUACGAUCUAAGGAUGAAAGUGGGGGAUUCGCAAGAACCUCAUGCUCCUGGAGCGGC